Molecule: ribosomal RNA, 407 nt
Filed under: uncultured bacterium
Lineage: Bacteria
Description: bacterial SSU rRNA
Rfam family: Bacterial small subunit ribosomal RNA
Source: RNAcentral
UGGGGAAUAUUGCGCAAUGGGGGAAACCCUGACGCAGCAACGCCGCGUGCAGGAAGAAGGUCUUCGGAUUGUAAACUGUUGUCGCAGGGGAAGAAAAAGAUGACGGUACCCUGUGAGAAAGUCACGGCUAACUACGUGCCAGCAGCCGCGGUAAUACGUAGGUGACAAGCGUUGUCCGGAUUUACUGGGUGUAAAGGGCGCGUAGGCGGGAUAGCAAGUCAGGAGUGAAAUGCCGAUGCUCAACAUCGGAACUGCUUUUGAAACUGUUAUUCUUGAGUAUCGGAGAGGAAAGCGGAAUUCCCAGUGUAGCGGUGAAAUGCGUAGAUAUUGGGAGGAACACCAGUGGCGAAGGCGGCUUUCUGGACGACAACUGACGCUGAGGCGCGAAAGUGUGGGGAGCAAACAGG